UACGUAGGGAGCAAGCGUUGUCCGGAAUCAUUAGGCGUAAAGCGCGCGUAGGUGGCCACAUAAGUCCGUUGUGAAAGUCAAAGGCUCAACCUUUGAAAGCCGAUGGAUACUGUGUGGCUAGAGUACGGAAGAGGCGAGUGGAAUUCCUGGUGUAGCGGUGGAAUGCGCAGAUAUCAGGAGGAACACCAAUAGCGAAGGCAGCUCGCUGGGACGUUACUGACACUGAGGCGCGAAAGCGUGGGGAGCGAACAGG
This 253-nucleotide ribosomal RNA is filed under the name uncultured bacterium. Its description in RNAcentral is "partial 16S ribosomal RNA". It matches the Rfam family "Bacterial small subunit ribosomal RNA", at positions 524 to 776 of the family's 1533-position model. The record is from RNAcentral.